RNAcentral lists this long non-coding RNA (333 nucleotides) under Malus domestica (apple). Its description in RNAcentral is "long non-coding RNA (MDOM_LNC012056)". The record is from RNAcentral. Lineage: Eukaryota; Viridiplantae; Streptophyta; Magnoliopsida; Rosales; Rosaceae.
UGAUGCUUUGCUGAUGUAAAUGUGUACGCAAUAUAUUUUGGUGUUGAUUUUGUUGAUGUAUUAUGGUUUGGUCGGGUGGAUACAUGCGGCAUAAUCUUCAUGGAUCGUCGUUGGGACUCAACGAUGGAUGAAAAAUAGCAAGUACUUUGAAUAUGCUCAACAAGAACUCCUAACCAUGUCUCACUUAUGGCGUAGUGAAGUGAGGUGAGUCUUGAAAUGAUUCAAAGAUUUUGCAACUAAGGUCAUAUCAUGGACCUCCAAGAUAUUGUAAUAUCCCUAACGGUAAAGACAUAACCAUUUGGGAUUUUGCCUUGUGUGGGUUUGAUAAGUAAC